RNAcentral lists this ribosomal RNA (1381 nucleotides) under human gut metagenome. Its description in RNAcentral is "bacterial SSU rRNA". It matches the Rfam family "Bacterial small subunit ribosomal RNA". The record is from RNAcentral.
AGAGUUUGAUCCUGGCUCAGGAUGAACGCUGGCGGCGUGCUUAACACAUGCAAGUCGAACGAUGAAGCCCAGCUUGCUGGGUGGAUUAGUGGCGAACGGGUGAGUAACACGUGAGUAACCUGCCCCUGACUCUGGGAUAAGCCCGGGAAACUGGGUCUAAUACCGGAUAUGACCAUGGGACGCAUGUCUUGUGGUGGAAAGAUUUAUCGGUUGGGGAUGGACUCGCGGCCUAUCAGCUUGUUGGUGAGGUAAUGGCUCACCAAGGCGACGACGGGUAGCCGGCCUGAGAGGGUGACCGGCCACACUGGGACUGAGACACGGCCCAAACUCCUACGGGAGGCUGCAGUGGGGAAUAUUGCACAAUGGGCGCAAGCCUGAUGCAGCGACGCCGCGUGAGGGAUGGAGGCCUUCGGGUUGUAAACCUCUUUUAUCGGGGAGCAAGCGUGAGUGAGUUUACCCGUUGAAUAAGCACCGGCUAACUACGUGCCAGCAGCCGCGGUAAUACGUAGGGUGCAAGCGUUAUCCGGAAUUAUUGGGCGUAAAGGGCUCGUAGGCGGUUCGUCGCGUCCGGUGUGAAAGUCCAUCGCUUAACGGUGGAUCCGCGCCGGGUACGGGCGGGCUUGAGUGCGGUAGGGGAGACUGGAAUUCCCGGUGUAACGGUGGAAUGUGUAGAUAUCGGGAAGAACACCAGUGGCGAAGGCGACUUUCUGGACGAAAACUGACGCUGAGGCGCGAAAGCCAGGGGAGCGAACGGGAUUAGAUACCCCGGUAGUCCUGGCCGUAAACGAUGGGUACUAGGUGUAGGAGGUAUCGACCCCUUCUGUGCCGGAGUUAACCGCAAUAAGUACCCCGCCUGGGGAGUACGACCGCAAGGUUGAAACUCAAAGGAAUUGACGGGGGCCCGCACAAGCGGCGGAGCAUGCGGAUUAAUUCGAUGCAACGCGAAGAACCUUACCUGGUCUUGACAUCCACAGAACUUAGCAGAGAUGCUUUGGUGCCUUCGGGAACUGUGAGACAGGUGCUGCAUGGCUGUCGUCAGCUCGUGCCGGGAAAUGUUGGGUUAAGUCCCGCAACGAGCGCAACCCUUAUCCUUUGUUGCCAGCGGUCCGGCCGGGAACUCAAAGGAGACUGCCAGUGAUAAACUGGAGGAAGGUGGGGAUGACGUCAAGUCAUCAUGGCCCUUACGACCAGGGCUACACACGUGCUACAAUGGCGCAUACAAAGAGAAGCGACCUCGCGAGAGCAAGCGGACCUCAUAAAGUGCGUCGUAGUCCGGAUUGGAGUCUGCAACUCGACUCCAUGAAGUCGGAAUCGCUAGUAAUCGUGGAUCAGAAUGCCACGGUGAAUACGUUCCCGGGCCUUGUACACACCGCCCGUCAAG